Molecule: long non-coding RNA, 3168 nt
Filed under: Rattus norvegicus (Norway rat)
Lineage: Eukaryota; Metazoa; Chordata; Mammalia; Rodentia; Muridae
Description: long non-coding RNA NONRATT006175
Source: RNAcentral
GGCCCAGCACAAGUGGCCUAAACAGUGGCCCCUGAGAGGUUGAGUCCUGGCCAUGCGGGCCAGAGAUUGAGUUUCCUGGCCACCAGGAAGGCAGCUAAGACCAGACAGGGACAGAGACAGGUUUUCAGGGCCAGAGAGGAGCAACGAGAGGGAACUUCUUAGUCACUCGGAGAAGCUCAGAACCAGAAAGUGAGUGAUAGGGUCCCUCUGCCCCAGAGGCCAGCAGAUUAGCGAAUAGAUUGAGUCAAUGCCUGGAGGCAGAGUACCAAGACCAGGCUAUCAUGGGCUUUUUAGGCCGGCUUUUAGAUUUCCUCCUGGCAGGUUUUAUAAGUGUGUUUUGAUCAGAUUGCAGAAAGCUACGCUCACGUGAGUAAGUCAAAUGUAGCUCGAUGCUUGUGAAGAAGUACAAGAUAGAAUAUCUUCUGUUUUAUGUGGUACCAAAAAUCACCAUUCCCUCGAGAAUGUAGCACAUUGUGAAAUGCUAAAAGUAAGACAUUCUAGCAACACUGUGUAUUAAUGUCAAAAUAAUUACAUCAGUACCGUUUUUCUCUAAAAUUAAUUUUUAAUUUACGUUCCAGUCAGAAUUUAUUGUCUUAGGGAGCCUUAGAGGUUAGCAUGCAGUCAGGGUCUGUGGGGAGAUUCUGUGUAGACUCCCUGUAGCCAGCAGUGGUUUCCGUUGUGUAGUCCUGGUGAGCUAAGGCUCCAUUUUGUUCUGUGCUAAGAGUGGUCUCAGCAGCUUCAUGCCCUGCACUGACUGAGUCACUGCCACUGCGUCCCCUAAAAGCUUCUGGGUGUGCAUGUCAGGGCCACUUACCCAGAGCUUCCUCUGCUACUGUAGAAUUUGAUUUUCUUAACUUUCAUGGUGGUCAAAGAGGACUUUUUCUUAACCUCCUACAUCUUUGGACCUCAUGGGUGACCCUGUUUAGACCCCAUGUCUGGCUUCCUGGCCACUUGUUAGCAUAGCACUUUGUCAAUGGGCCCAGGAGGUAACAGCCAAGACCAGUGUGGAGGGACUGCUGCUUGCCCGUUCCUCAUGGCUAAGUUUCCCGUUGACAAGUGCUGAAGUCUCUUCUAAAGACUCACCUUCGUGUCACCUCCCAGUCUGCCUGGAGUCAGCUUUUCAGUUGUCCUUGCCACUUAUCACUUCUCAGCUCAGUCUCUGACCAAUCAAGUUUCCAGAAGUCCUCUGUUCACCAUGCUCAUUUGAAAACUUUCCGGAGAGCUAGAUGGGAUAUGAGUCACUUGGGAUAUAGAUGAAGGAUACGGGAAAAACUUCUGCCUUUUGAAGCCUCACGAAUCCACGGCACACAAGUGUCAGGGCAGAAAGAAAACUCCAGUGGUUAAGAAGGGUGUAUUUUGGGGUUUGCCCCACUUGUGCCUUAAAACCGUCCCAUCUCAGCUCACCGUGUGUCCUCUAGGUGUACCAUAAAAACCCUGGGCAUCUGGGGUGCUCAGCAGGAGACUGUCUUUCCGCCAGGGCAGCCCCGUAGCAUCAUGCAUGAUCCCAGGAGACUGCCAGGUGUCUACGAGCACAGCAUCUUCAGCUUUGCAAUGGAAUUGAGCCGUUUCUGUGAUGUUAUCUUUGUUUAAACCUUGUCUUGUUUUGAACUUUCAGUUAGGAAGUGUGCCGUUUCAUUAGGUACCAAAGCACUUGCACUUUUAGGAACAUAGGUGCCACAUGGUAAAUCGCUAGGCCAUCUAGAGACUAAAGGUGAACCCCUAAUUGUAAGUAGAGAUAUCCCCUGCUCUUCCCAUGAUGCAAUACAGAGAAGAUGGAGGUCUGAGAUCACUGGAUAUGGCUGAGUGGUUUCCACCAAAUUGAAGAUAGGCCCGAGACGACUCUCCUCGGAGUCACUUGACUGUGGCGGUUUCGUGUGCACGCGAUUCAGGUGGCUGCAGCAGCACCUUUCCCAAAGUCAAGGCUAAUCAGCUGGUGGCUGCUGUGACCGCUGCAGAGCCACCUCUGGCUGCAGGCUCCCCUGUGCUGGCCCUUGCUUGUCAUCUGCAGGGCUUUGGUUCCACUCGCUAGCUGUGCCAGGAUUCUGUCUGCUUCUGGGCCUGCUCUGUGUUCAUCAUUUUUGUCGUCACGGUGCAGAGGUGUCGGAAGAGCUAGAGUGCGAACAAUAGCUACCCUGGAAAGAGCCUCUUGGAUCUUGAAACUCCCCCUGCUCCGUGAUUGGGUUUCCAGCAGUUCUGUCCUUGCCCAUCCCUCAUAUCUGGAAGCCAUGGUGUUGGCCGUCUGGGGCCUAUCAUCAGCUUCACCUGAAGGUUAUCAGACCUCCACCUGAGGUCUGGAUUCUUUCAAGCCAAAGUGCCUGCUCCUCUCCCCCACCCCCGUUCUUACUUUUCAUGGAUGAACUAGAGAAUGUCCGUGUGUAAAUCUGGUUGCUUUCCGCACUUAGGUCUCUUCUGUACUCACUAGAAAGCCGCAGAAGCACAUCUGUGCUGUGUCUCCCUCUGGAGCAGCCUUAUCCACAUUGCUUGCCAGAGUCCUGUGGUGGCCUCUCCUGUUCCCAUGUGUUUGGUGGAUAUAGUAUUCCUUCCCAGUUGUCCCUAAAACUGUGACGGGGGAGUCCCCACUCACUAAGCAUUACCAGCCAGCUAUGUGGCGUCCCCACACAAAGACCUUGUGUAGUUCCUUUUGCAAUGACAUAUUUAUUAAAUCUAUUUAUAUUUAUUUAAUUUUUACUCCGAAGUAUAUCCGGUUACAAUUGCACUUGCUGAAAGCACAUCAGAUCUAUUUUGGACAGUACCCCUGACCAUUCUAAAACUGGAAAAGGAAAAGUUACACUGUAUCCUGCCACCUUAUGGUAGCCUUGUCUUUAAAGGGUGAAUAAUUUGGUCUGGGUAGAAUGUUAAUUUUUGGAUGAUUUUUAAAAAAAAUCUUGUGCCAUGUGUCUUCUCUGUGGACAGUUAAUUGUUUAAUGGAUAUGUGCUGAUUGUGUGAUUCACUCCUCUUUGUGGGAACUAAAAUAUUCUUUUUAGCUUUAUAUUUUAUAAACUGCCAGAUUGUACAAUUUUAUGUGUAUUUUCAAAGCUCAUGAUAUGAGGGUCACUAAGUUAAACGGCCUAUUUUUUUACCUCUUGUACAGUUUUAUAAUUCUGCUCACUGAUGAAGGCGACUUAUGCUGAGCCAGCCACAAAUAAAGGUAGUUUUAGAUUUGGGAA